AGGUCUUAAAUGAACAAGCUUUCAUACUUAUUGAAGAGAGGUUAGAUUUCCACUCAUGUUUUUCCUUGAAUAUCAUUUGUGGUACUUCUUGAAUUAACCUAAGGAAGAUUCCACCUACACUUGAUUAGAAAACUAUCUGUGGUAUCAAAUUAGAAAACCUCUUGAAUUCACACUCGAUGUGUUCUGCUCUGAUCUUUGUGCUUAAUGUUUCACUAUCUUUUUGAUGUUGUCAAAAAGGGGGAGAAAUAUCUAAGUAUAUG
Molecule: long non-coding RNA, 260 nt
Filed under: Phoenix dactylifera (date palm)
Lineage: Eukaryota; Viridiplantae; Streptophyta; Magnoliopsida; Arecales; Arecaceae
Description: long non-coding RNA (PDAC_LNC019461)
Source: RNAcentral